Molecule: ribosomal RNA, 251 nt
Filed under: uncultured bacterium
Lineage: Bacteria
Description: partial 16S ribosomal RNA
Rfam family: Bacterial small subunit ribosomal RNA
Source: RNAcentral
CUGGUGAGUAACGCGUGAGGAACCUGCCUUCCAGAGGGGGACAACAGUUGGAAACGACUGCUAAUACCGCAUGAAACAUUUGAACCGCAUGGUUUGAAUGUCAAAGAUUUAUCGCUGGAAGAUGGCCUCGCGUCUGAUUAGCUAGUAGGCGGGGUAACGGCCCACCUAGGCGACGAUCAGUAGCCGGACUGAGAGGUUGACCGGCCACAUUGGGACUGAGAUACGGCCCAGACUCCUACGGAAGGCAGCAG